This 254-nucleotide ribosomal RNA is filed under the name uncultured bacterium. RNAcentral describes it as "partial 16S ribosomal RNA". It matches the Rfam family "Bacterial small subunit ribosomal RNA", at positions 524 to 776 of the family's 1533-position model. The record is from RNAcentral.
UACGAAGGGGGCUAGCGUUACUCGGAAUUACUGGGCGUAAAGGGCGCGUAGGCGGCGCUCCAAGUUAGGCGUGAAAGUCCUGGGCUCAACCUGGGAACUGGCGCUUAAGACUGGAGUGCUUGAGGAUGGAAGAGGGUUGUGGAAUUCCCAGUGUUGAGGUGAAAUUCGUAGAUAUUGGGAAGAACACCGGUGGCGAAGGCGGCGGACCUGGUCCAUUACUGACGUGAGGCGCGACAGCGUGGGGAGCAAACAGG